Long non-coding RNA from Callithrix jacchus (white-tufted-ear marmoset), 2983 nucleotides. RefSeq lists it as uncharacterized. The record is from RefSeq and is a predicted model, not a curated record. Lineage: Eukaryota; Metazoa; Chordata; Mammalia; Primates; Cebidae.
AGCAGCAAGCUCCGUCCACCCCUUUUUUUGAAAAGAGAUAGAAAAUAAAAGAAAGGGGUGUUCACUUUCUGCUGGGUAGUUUGGCAAUAGAGCUCAGAGCUGUGGUCUUUUAAGAUACAUUUACAAACAUAUGCUGGUGCAUCUAAGCAGAAGAGUUCUGAUUUCACUUUGGGUUCUCCGUGACGCAUUCUAAGGAGAAACAGCAAUGCAGAGAGAAACAGGCAGAGGAACACAGCAGAGGCUACACAGGCCUCGGGUUUGCGAAAAAGACGUUUCAGUGCUGCUCUGUUGUGGGCAAGUCUGACCUACUUUGCGUCCUCUGUCAUCUGCUUUGGUAUCUAAAUAAGACUUCCUAGCCACUGAGAUCAGACUGCUAUCCAGUUAUUUGAAGAUCUGUUAUCUCCUGAUGGGAGAUGCUGUCUUCCCACUCUUCACAGCUCACAGCUCUUGGCCCGCUCCUUCGCUUAACAGUCACUCAUCUGUGUGAGGGCCAGGGACUUGCUGUGUGGCCAGGAAGUGUGCCGCCUCCAACCCAGGAAAGUGUGGACAGAUGGACGGACGUACAGAUGUGUGCAGACCAUCCUGUUGUUCCUGUUCCUAACCUCCGAGGCCCCAGUAAUUCCUACUGCCUGCCUUGCUGGAGUUAUUGACAGAACGAGAGGCUGGGUCAGGUGUGUGUCUGCAAGACUGCUUCCUGGGUGGACUCUGAAGACAAGGUCUGCGAGCACUCAGGAGGCUCCAGCAUUUGGCGGGAACUAACAAUGCUCAGAAACUAACCCGGCCCAAGGAGAAAGCCCAGAGCCUGCAGCUGAGAAGCAAAUCCAAAAAUCAUAGAAAAAUGGUAAGACAGGGCAGAGUGCUGGAGUACACACUUCCCAAGAACAGAAACCACUCUCCGCCUGAGCCCAGUGCAAAUGUCUUCUCACCUCUGAACAGUAAUGGUAAAUGUUUAACAACUAGCUCUCUGGGGAGAAAAAGAAUAAGCCCUGCUUUGCUAUUCCUGUGGUGUAAACACUCCCCUGUGGCUGAUUUCAAGCCACCACUGUGAAGUUGCUGAACUAGGGGCUGGGAAGAGACAUGGGUACUGGCUCCAGCACGCCUCUGCAGGCACUUCUGCCUUUUUCUGCUGAAAUCAUGGGUUAGAUGCCCACACGUCUGUCUCUCCAGGGAGACUGUAAGCAUGACGAGGGCAAAGGGAGUGUCCUGUAGUCCCCGCAUCAUUCAUAGUGCCAGGCACAGUGCCCCACAAUACAAAGUCCCCCAUAAAUUGUCCCUCGAUUGCGUCACCACAUUGUUUUUAGUGUUGCAGUUGUUAGUAUUGUUAGUUAACGUUUAUUGACUGAAAUUUACUCUUGUUUGGGGUUUUUUUUGAGGCAAGCGUCUCAUUCUGUAGCCCAGACUGGAGUGCAGUGGCAUGAUCUCUGCUCACUGCAACUUCUGCUUCCUGGGUUCAAGAGAGUCUCAUGCCUCAGCCACCUGAGUAGCUGGGAUUACAGGUGCACGCCAUCAUACAGGCUACUUUUUCUUUUUAUUUUUUUGAGAUGGAGUCUUGCUCUGUCGCCCAGGCUGGAGUGCAGUGGUGCAAUCUUGGCUCACUGCAACCUCUGCCGCCAGGUUGAAAGGAUUCUUCUGCCUCAGCCUCCCAAGUAGCUGGGACUAGAGGUGUGUGCCACCAUGCUUGGCUAAUUUUUUGUAUUUUUAGUAGAGAAGGGGUUUCACCGCGUUAGCCAGAUGGUCUCAAUCUCCUGACCUCAUGAUCCACCCACCUUGGCCUUUCAAAGUGCUGGAAGCACAGGUGUGAGCCACCGCGCCCAGCCUAAUUUUUUGUAUUUUUAGUAGAGAUGGCGUUUCGCCGUGUUGGCCAGGCUGGUCUUGAAUUCCUGACCUCAAGUGAUCCGUCGGCCUUGACCUACCAAAGUGUUGGGAUUAUAGGUGUGAGUCACUGCACCCGGACUAAAAUUUAUUCUUAUAAUAGCUUCACUUGUAUUAUUUCAUUUGGUGAUGACAAAUGUAAGCCUGUAUUAGAGAGAAUUAAUAUGUUUUUGAAAGAAUUGAAGAGUUUUCCUCAUUUGAUAUCUGGAAACCAGGAAAGAAUGUUUACUUAUGCUCUCGCCUCGUCUCCUCUUGCUCUUCCCUGCUUCGCAGAGCGCUUCUUCCUCCUUGUUCUGUCUCCUCUUCCUACCCAUUGCUUCUCUUCUCUCUUUUUAAUUUUUGUGUAUAUACAAAUAUUUGCAAAUAAUUCUCAAUCAUUAGAGUGAGAACAUUUUUCUUUAUUCCACUUACAAGGAUCAGCAUCAUCUCCUUGCAAAAACAAAUCUUUUGUGUGUUUCCCUUAUCAAGUAGUUAGAGGAAUCCAAAUGUCUUCUCAAAUCAAAUUUCAUAACCCUCCUGGCCAUGAAGCCUCAGAACACCAGAUAAAGGAUGAGCCAGAGUGGCAGAUGACAGGACCACAUUUCUUUCUUUUUCUUUUUUUUUUGAGACAGUCUUACUCUGUCGCCAGGCUGGAGGGCAGUAGCACAAUCUCAGCUCACUGCAAUCUCCGCCUCCCAGGUUCAAGCAAUUCCCCUGCCUCAGCCUCCCAAGUAGCUGAGACUACAGGCAUGUACCACCAUGCCCGGCUAAUUUUUUGUAUUUUAGUAGAGAUGGAGUUUCACCAUGUUGGCCAGGAUGGUCUUGAUCUCCUGACCUCAUGAUCCACCUGCCUCGGCCUCCCAAAGUGAUGGGAUUACAGGCAUGAGCCACCACACCCGGCAGGACCACAUUUUUUUCAGGCCUUUGCCAACCUGCAAAGGUUCUCUGGACAGUGCUCUGAAGGGUCCUGGAAGGCUCAGUGACCCAGGAGGCCAGAGACGAAGGAUCAUUCUGGCUCAACUACAGAAUUACAUCGCUGUGGGCAAAUCAUUUCCCCCAUAUUCAUUUAACAUUUGAAAAACUUUCAUGUUUUAAUGUAUUUAUCAAUCACUUGGGAAUAUCAACAUAUUUU